UAGGGAAUCUUCGGCAAUGGGGGGAACCCUGACCGAGCAACGCCGCGUGAGUGAAGAAGGUUUUCGGAUCGUAAAGCUCUGUUGUUAAGGAAGAACGAGUGUGAGAAUGGAAAGUUCAUGCUGUUACGGUACUUAACCAGAAAGGGACGGCUAACUACGUGCCAGCAGCCGCGGUAAUACGUAGGUCCCGAGCGUUGUCCGGAUUUAUUGGGCGUAAAGCGAGCGCAGGCGGUUAGAAAAGUCUGAAGUGAAAGGCAGUGGCUCAACCAUUGUAGGCUUUGGAAACUGUUUAACUUGAGUGCAGAAGGGGAGAGUGGAAUUCCAUGUGUAGCGGUGAAAUGCGUAGAUAUAUGGGGAAAAACCGGUGGCGAAAGCGGCGCUCUGGUAUGUAACUGACGCUGAGGCUCGAAAGCGUGGGGAGCGAACAGG
RNAcentral lists this ribosomal RNA (429 nucleotides) under Verrucomicrobiota bacterium. RNAcentral's name for it is "Verrucomicrobia bacterium partial 16S ribosomal RNA". It matches the Rfam family "Bacterial small subunit ribosomal RNA", at positions 355 to 776 of the family's 1533-position model. Lineage: Bacteria; Pseudomonadati; Verrucomicrobiota. The record is from RNAcentral.